This is a long non-coding RNA of Mus musculus (house mouse), 5334 nucleotides long. RefSeq annotates it as predicted gene, 32920. NCBI's taxonomy places the organism in Eukaryota, Metazoa, Chordata, Mammalia, Rodentia, Muridae. The transcript has 3 exons. The record is from RefSeq and is a predicted model, not a curated record.
UGUAGGCUCUGAUCUGGCUUUUAAGCAACUCUAAGGUUACCCUUAAAGAGGGAAUGUAUUAUGGUAAUGAGUAUCAGUGAAAGUGUGCUGAGAGAAAAAGUCCUGCUCAAUAGAAUACAAUCUCUCAUCUCGUAGUCACUUAACAUUCCAGUUCGGUUAGGUUAACUAUCUGGCUAAGGGACAUCCCUCAAUCUCUCAGGAAGGCAGGAUCACGUUAAGGCAAGCUGAAGAGAGAACUAGAUUAAUUCAUUCUUUGAGUUAGGGGCUUGCCAAGAGACUCAUUGAAACCACUGUCACCGAAGAAUCUUGUCACUUACUGUUACUCGAGACUUCAGGAAGUCAGCAUGUGCUAGCUGAGUUUGAAGGGACGUGAGGAAUGUAAGUGAAACCACUGUGUGAGAUUGGAAAACCAACCUGUGUGAGUUGGAAUAAUGUAAUGCUUGUGAGAUAAGGAGCCAUACAAGAGGCAGCUUCAAUGUGAGCCAAGCUUUAGCACGCUCUGAUAAGUUAAUGAACCAACCCCAAGAUAACUCCAUAUGUUAAAGAAUCAUCCAACCCUAAACUUCAAGACCAGAUUGCACAAAGCUAAUACCAUGGGAACAAUGAAAAAAAAUGGAGCCAGCCAGGUUAGCACUGCUGUGCUCCUGAGGGGUGGCAUCAAAGCCCUUGUGUUGAUCCCAUAAGCAAUGGGACUUUGAGACCAGUCUCUCUGUGACUCUAGCUCCUGUGACUGUUGGGUUUGUUGGGUUUGUGGCACCCUUGCCAAGUUCACACUUUUGUCUGCCUGUUUAGGAUUGGUCACUGGUUAAGCUCAAAGACAAGCCUUGCCAUCCUGGCCUGGCCUGCCUGCCAUCCUCCUGGCCUGUCACCCUCAGACAUGGAUGCAGUUCAAAUCCCAAGUGAUUUCAAUGGAGGUUAGAGGAUUCUUCAGCUAAGCCUGCAGCAGAGUCCCACCUUUCUGGCUUGAUACCCGGGAACCUGGGAGACGGCUGAGUGGGUAAGGACACAGGAGGACCUGAGUUCAGAUAGCCCUGCAACCCCACCCGAUGAGUCUGGCCCCCCAGUACAGUGGAUUUUCUGGCUGAUGAGCCUCACUCUAAGACAAAAUUUAUUGGGAUUAAGGAAAUUGUAUUGAGUCCCUGGAGCACUACAGGAAGUGCUGACACCAAUCCUGGAGCACUACAGCUGGCCAGUGGAGCACCCUAGUCAGUGAUGAUGUCACCCUGUUGAGCACUCUAGGCAGUGAUGAUGUCAGUCCGUGGAGCACUCCCAGCAAUACUGACAUCUUAACAAUAUUAAAUGUACUAAUCUAUGAACAAAAUGUCUUUCUAUUUAUUUGUGCCUUGGCAAAUUUCUUUCUGCAAAAUUUAAUACUUUUUAGUAUAUAAGCCUUUGAAAACUAUCUCAGCCUAUGUGGUAUGGUCCUGGAAUGCUGAAAGGGCUCUUAUGGACUUCCCUUAACAGUGGACCUAAUGGAAGGGUGAACUUCUGUGCCCUGUCCUCUCACCACGCCCCGGGCAUGUAGAAGGUAGAUCCCCUAGGAGGGCCAAGGGUAGGAGCAAAGGUGCCUACUCCUGGAAGCUUACUACCCAAGUGAGCAGCUCACCCAGGGUUAGCAGACAUACAAGUUUCUUCUAGUCCCAGUGAAACCCAAGUUCAAGACCAGCCAUGGUAUGUGGGACAUGAUUGACAGCUGGGGGGGGUGUGUGAAGCUCAUGAAGCCAGUAUGACACCUGUGAAGCAGGCAUACCUUCCUGAGAGAAAUCCGAGGCCAGGCGAAGUGGUCCAGUGCAUCCACGGUGGUGCAUCUACCGCUUGGCAGUAGGAGAGACUAACACUCCUUACUCAGCCCUACAUGGCAAUAUCACACCACAGACUACUGUGCAGUGUUCCCUCUAGCCCAUCUCAAGGUCUAGCCCAUCUCAAGGUGGGCCUUGGGAGAGGUACAGAGCACUCCAAGGGACCAUGGUGAUGCCGUGCCAACCUGUCUCCAGAGGACAGGCUCAGCAGGGCAUAGUAAGGAUCUCUGGAUUUAAGGAGUGGAACGCAUGUAGUAUGGGUGCCUCAGCAUAGCUGUGGUGACACAUGCUGGUGUCCCUGUCCUGGAAGCACCAGGCUACCAGGCUACCAGCACAAGAUGACUCUUCACUGGAACCCAAAUAGCUUCUCAGGUUGUCUUUGGCGGGCUCAGGACCUCCAGGGUCAGGAGCCUGCGUUAAGUUAGGAGGCCUUUGAUACUGCCCUAGCUGCGGAGACUUUCCCCUCUCCAGGCUAUAAAUAUUUAUACCCAUCUCCUUCCAAGAAGUUCUCAGUUCCAAGAAGCUAUGGCCUUCAAAGUUGGUGUGCCUCAAGUCACAACAUAUUCCCCAUGUGGCCUGUACAGCCCGGCACUCCCCAAACUACAGGAGCUGCCAGACCUCCGCUCACCUCCUAGAUAACACUUCUCCUGCCUAAUUCCUAUGCUGUGCCCACUACCCCCCACCUCCCAGGUCUCCACUGCCAGUAGAUCCUCGCUGACAUCUGCCUUUAAGCAUACUCUCCCUUCGUCCUGGGCAUGCUCUUCUCUCUCACCUCUUGGUCUCCCACACCUCUGUGUUGAAUCACCCUAUCUCACCCAUGCAGGCUUCUUGGAACUUCUGAAGGCAGCUCAGUGCCCCAGGAUGAGGCUUCCCACAAUGCUAUGAACAGUCUGGUCCUGCUGGAUUCUGUUUGGCAAAGAUUUAUGUCUCCUAUCCUGACUGCCCAAGACUGGCCAUUACUCAGCUUCACCCCUGGUGGCAAAGGUGAUGCUCACGUAGGAAUUGCUACCUGUGCUCUUCAGAGGGGCCAGCCUGCCCAGUUCCUCUAGGGAGCAAGUGCAACCCAGGCAUGCUCUACGUAGAACCUAUCCCUGGGAAACUCUGGAAAGAAUACAAAUUGUAGGACUGGGAGGAUUUGUUUCUCUCAUUAUAAAAAUAGCAUUGGUGGUUAGAUGGCGCAUCUAAGAUGGCUUGGCGCAUGCCCUGUACCAUGCAGAUACUCCUGAAGUGGAGCAGGUGUGGUAGCCUAUCCAGGCAUGUUCAAGCUGUAGCCUACAGGCUACAUGUGGCCUGGCACAUGUGAGAAUGACAGUGUCAUAUCACAAUGUCAAAGGUUGGAUGCCCCUGAAUAUGGAAGCAGAUGCUUAAAAGGACUAAGAGUCUUGUCUAAGCACUGGGAUUUGGACAGGGACUCUCUGCCUCCAAAUCUAAGCAUAGAUACCUUAAUUACCAAGACCCAAAAGACUCUCAGGGAACCACAGAGAUACCCUGAGAAAAUCUCUUAGUUGUUGGUCCCAGUGGUGGGGACAGAACCCAGAGCUUAGUACAAGCUAGGUAAGUGCCCUCUACCACUGAGCAACAAGUGCUAUGCAUCCUGCUAGUACCUACCUGGAAUCUCUGAGACAGUCGGUCACCUGAUCAAGCUUACAGAAGAGUAGAUGAUGGUAGCAGUCAAAGGUUUGUAGUCCCCUGGUGACAUUACCUGGCUUACUUAUGUGACACCCAAAAGGUGUUACUCUCUUAACUGUUGGUGUUUGUGUGUUUGUUUCCCUCCUAGGAGGGUCCCAGCCAGGCCCCCUUCACUCUUUUGGCUCAGAGAAAGCUUGUCACAGCCUACACCAGCACUGACAAGAUCCCUGCAGUACCCCUACAGGGUGGAAGUGAUCUGUCUGGAAAAACCAGAAGAAGCUCUGCCCUUCCCCCAGCUCUGCAGGAAGCGCCAGCUGAGAGAACAUUCUCAGCCACAGCACUUCCUGAGGCUCACCUCCCUCAGCCAGAAAAGACCAAGCUGUCUGAGAACACCUCGGGCAGGGAGCUCUGACCUGACAGUAGCUUGUGGUAAGCAAUGCCAAUUACCAGCUGUAAAGGCAGGACCUGCUUCUCGGGUCACAGCCCUCACAGCCCCAAGGCCUCCAGAGCAGGAAGACAGCAUGGCAUCCCACCUCCUGGCCAAGGGCAUCUUGUCCUCUCCUCAGCUAACUCCUACAAGUUGUCCUCUUACCUCUACAUGCAUUCCGUGCCGUGCAUGUACCCACACAUGUAUACAUACACACAUCAGCAAAGGUAACUAAAACAAUACAAAGCAAAACAACCAAAGCUGCUGGGGCUAGGAACAUAAGGCCAUAAAUUUGGUCCCCUAGUACCUGCAUAAGAAGUGAAGCAGAGUAGGGUAUGCUUGUAAUCCCAGCACUUCUCAGGCUACAAGGGAAUCAGGAGGACACCACCCAACUCCGUCAGAUCAGUGAGCUCCAGGUUCAAAGAGAGAUCAUGCCCCCCAAAUUAGAGAUCAAUUAAGGACGUUACCAGAUGUCUACUUCUGGCCUACACAUGUACAUGCACAUGCGACCCCCCACACACACACAUACACGCACACACUCUCUCAUGAAAAGUGUGAAACAAAAUAUAAACUAGGUCGGUUAGACAAGUCUCAAUGACUAGAACUGGCAGAUAGUAGGUGAUCAAUAAAUAUUUGUUGAGUAAACUCCACUGCCGUUAUACAAGUCCCUGAUUUGACUUUGAAGACUCAAAGCUCAUUCACUAAAGGGGCUGGGGGUGGGGCUGUGCUGUAGUUUGGACAGAGACUGUCCACUGAAGUCUCAUGUUCAAAAGGAUUGUCCUUAGAUUGGCAAUAGAGGGAGGUGACCGAGCCAUUAAGAGAUGUGGCUUAGGGAAAGGUUUUAGGCCAAAACCUCAUCCUCCCACCCUCUUCCCCCACUUUUGAUCCACUGCGUCUCCUCCAUCCCUUGCUAUCUCAUCAUGGGCCCAAAGCAACAAGACAAACCAUCCAUUCACAGAAACCCCCAAACCCUGUGUCUUUAUAGGUUAAUUAUCUCAAGAGUCCUGUUACCAUGACAGAAAGUUGACUGGUGCACACCUGAAUUCACACUAGAGGCCCAAUGUUUGUUUUCCAAAUGUCUACGAAAAGAAUUACAUAGACCUUUUAGGACGUACUAAACAUUGGUUCUGAGAUAACUCCUGUUGGCUCAGGGUGUCACCAAAUUUCACCAUCAGGAAUAAGAGCUCAACAGCUGUAGAGGCAUGCCAGGUCACAAAACAGAGCCACAUCCCAAGUCCACCUCAGAGCAACCACUCUGGUGACUUCCCUGUCCUGAGUGUCAGUUGACAAAGACAUAGUCAACAGCUGACAGAAACUCCACCCUGUUCCCUGAUCCAUGAUGCACACAUGUAGCAAGAAAGGUUAGCUGGGAGCCUCAGGAGUGCUCACCACUCCCAAACAGUGGCUCACUGCCAAUCCUUCAUCCUUGGAGACUAAAGCACACCACCAGCUGAGAAGAGUGGUCUCUGCUGCCUGCCC